RNAcentral lists this ribosomal RNA (182 nucleotides) under Semnopithecus entellus (Hanuman langur). RNAcentral's name for it is "partial 12S ribosomal RNA". It matches the Rfam family "Bacterial small subunit ribosomal RNA", at positions 1325 to 1533 of the family's 1533-position model. Lineage: Eukaryota; Metazoa; Chordata; Mammalia; Primates; Cercopithecidae. The record is from RNAcentral.
GGAGGAUUUAGUAGUAAACUAAGAAUAGAGUGCUUAGUUGAAUUAGGCCAUGAAGCACGCACACACCGCCCGUCGCUCUCCUCAAAUAUAUUUAAGAAUUAUUUAACUAAAUAUUCUAACUCUUAUAUAGAGGGGAUAAGUCGUAACAUGGUAAGUGUACUGGAAGGUGCACUUGGAUAAAU